This 270-nucleotide ribosomal RNA is filed under the name uncultured bacterium. RNAcentral's name for it is "partial 16S ribosomal RNA". It matches the Rfam family "Bacterial small subunit ribosomal RNA", at positions 89 to 354 of the family's 1533-position model. The record is from RNAcentral.
CGGCGACCGGCGCACGGGUGAGUAACACGUAUGCGACCUGCCCGUAGCAGGGGGAUAAGCGGAAGAAAUUCCGUCUAAUACCGCGUAAUAUCUUUCCGGGGGCAUCCCUGAGGGAUUAAAGGAAGUGAUUCCGGCUACGGAUGGGCAUGCGGCGCAUUAGCUAGUCGGCGGGGUAACGGCCCACCGAGGCGACGAUGCGUAGGGGUUCUGAGAGGAAGGUCCCCCACACUGGUACUGAGACACGGACCAGACUCCUACGGAAGGCAGCAG